UGACCCGCAACGGCGUCGCGACGAUCUGCUGCCCGAUCAGUCCCUACAAGGAAACGCGCGACGCCAACCGGGAGCUGAUCGGCGACUUCGUCGAGGUCUACGUGCAUGCGACGGUCGAGGAGAUCGCCGCAAACCGCGACCCCAAGGGCCUCUACAAGAAGGCGCUCGCGGGCGAGAUCACCGGCUUCACCGGCGUGGACGACCCCUACGAGGUGCCCGAGAACCCCGAGCUGGUCGUGGACACGCUGCAGGAGUCCCCCGAGGAGUCGCUCCAACACGUGCUCACGACCCUGCUGAAGCUCGGCUACCUCGAUUCCGACGAGGUCAUGAUCGAGGGCGACCGGGUGCACUCCGGGCAGACGGACCUCCGGGUGCACGACACCGGCCACGUGAUGAAGGAGUCCUGAUCGCGCUCACGCGGUUCGUGCGAUCAGCUCCAGGUACGCGCUGAGGUACUGCGGGGGGAGGAACCGCUCUCGGACGCGCUGCUUCGCGGCCCAGCCGAGCGCGUCGGCCCGCUGUCCGUCGACGCACAGCGAUGCGACCGCAGUGGCGAACGCCGGCAGGUCGCGCGGAUCGACCAGGAGGCCCUGCACCCCGUCGUCGAUCUGAUCGACGAUGCCGCCGAUGCGACCCGCGACGAUCGGUCGCUCCUUCCACAUCGCCUCGGUCACCGUCAACCCGAACCCCUCGGCCAGGCUCUUCUGGACGACGACGUUGGCCCGACGCUGCAGCGCGUUGACGAUGAUCGCGUUCUCGUCGACGUCGGCGGUCGGCAGGUUCGCGAUGUGGAUCCGCUCCCGCAGGUGCGACGGCUGGGAGAGCCACGCGUCGCGGAGCUCCGUCAGCACCGACCCGGCUUCGGGAUCGUCUGCCACCGAGGACGGGGAGGGGCCCGCGAGGAUCAGAUGCGCAUGGGCGAGCCCGGGCUCGUCGGCGAAGCCUCGCAACACGCCGACGGGAUCCUUGAGACGGUCCCAGCGCGAGACCUGCGUGACGAUCGUCGCGCCGGACGGCACGGGCGCGAGCUCGAGCAUGUCCGCGCGUCGGACGACGCGCUCGGUCGUGCCGUCGCGUCGCUCGAACACCGCCUCGUGUUCGGGCGCACCGUCCGCCAAUCCCGUCAGCCGCAUGAUGGUGUCGCAGCGAUCCGGCGUGAGGUCGAUGUUCUUGAGGGACAGCGGAUCGAUGCACGGCGGGAUCAGCGCGACGCGGGUCGGGUCGAGCCCCUCCCACACGUACGCCUGCCGGGUGAAGGUGUGCGCGGCGGCGCGCUGCGCGUACGGAAGCAGGAACUCCCACGCCGAGCGGGUGAUGUCGUUCGUGGUGUCGGCGCCCACGUGGCACGUCCACACGACCUGUGCGCCGCGGUCGACCAGGCCAGGCACUAGGCCGAGCGGCUGUGGAUCGUGCACCACGACGACGUCGCCGGGCCGCACGAACCCGAUGGCCUGCUCCAGGUUCCCUGCGGACACGGCCUCGUAGUGGGCGCGCUCGUCGUCCCCGAGCGGACCCAGGUCGCCCAGGUCACCGUGGAGUCGGUUGUGGAUCCGUUUCGUGAUCUGGAAGAACGGCGGGUCGCCCUCGAAGACGAGCCAUCGCACGUCGAUCCCCGAGGAGGCCAGAUAGCCGAGGUUGGACCGGAGCAGCUCGGCGACGCCGCCACCCUCGGCGGUCGAGUUGACGUGCACGAGCCUGCGAUCGCGCAACAGGUGGCUGGCGUGGGCCACCACCGCACGAACCGUUCGGCCUCUCCGUCGCCGAGGCCUCGCAGCAGCUGGCUGGUGGAGCGAGCGAGGAUCGCUGUCUCGAACACAGAUCGCGG
RNAcentral lists this unclassified non-coding RNA (1825 nucleotides) under uncultured fungus. RNAcentral describes it as "sequence contains 18S rRNA gene, ITS1, 5.8S rRNA gene, ITS2, 28S rRNA gene". The record is from RNAcentral. Lineage: Eukaryota; Fungi.